GAUGAACGCUAGCGGCAGGCUUAAUACAUGCAAGUCAAGGGGGUAGCAAUACAACCGGCGCACGGGUGAGUAACGCGUACACAACAUACCAUAUACUGGAGUAUAGCUUUGGGAAACUGAAGGUAAUCCUCCAUAACAUUGCGAGAGGGCAUCUGAUUGCAAUUAAAGUUCCGACGGUAUAUGAUUGGUGUGCGUUUGAUUAGCUAGUUGGUAGGGUAACGGCCUACCAAGGCGACGAUCAAUAGCUGGAGUGAGAGCGCGACCAGCCACACUGGAACUGAGACACGGUCCAGACUCCUACGGGAGGCAGCAGUAGGGAAUAUUGGACAAUGGGCGAAAGCCUGAUCCAGCCAUGCCGCGUGAUAGAUGAAGGCCCUCUGGGUUGUAAAGCACUUUCAGUGGGGAAGAACAGAUUCGGGUCAAUACCCCGGAGCCCUGACGUUACCCACAGAAGAAGACACCGGCUAACUCCGUGCCAGCAGCC
This 484-nucleotide ribosomal RNA is filed under the name uncultured bacterium. Its description in RNAcentral is "bacterial SSU rRNA". It matches the Rfam family "Bacterial small subunit ribosomal RNA", at positions 28 to 516 of the family's 1533-position model. The record is from RNAcentral.